This 463-nucleotide ribosomal RNA is filed under the name uncultured bacterium. RNAcentral's name for it is "partial 16S ribosomal RNA". It matches the Rfam family "Bacterial small subunit ribosomal RNA", at positions 28 to 507 of the family's 1533-position model. The record is from RNAcentral.
GACGAACGCUGGCGGCGUGCUUAACACAUGCAAGUCGAACGGUGAACCUCUUCGGAGGGGAUCAGUGGCGAACGGGUGAGUAACACGUGGGCAACCUGCCCCCGGCUCUGGGAUAACUCCAAGAAAUUGAGGCUAAUACCGGAUGUUCACCGCUUCCCGCAUGGGUGGUGGUGGAAAGGGUUUCCGGCUGGGGAUGGGCCCGCGGCCUAUCAGCUUGUUGGUGGGGUAGUGGCCUACCAAGGCGACGACGGGUAGCCGGCCUGAGAGGGUGACCGGCCACACUGGGACUGAGACACGGCCCAGACUCCUACGGGAGGCAGCAGUGGGGAAUAUUGCGCAAUGGGCGGAAGCCUGACGCAGCGACGCCGCGUGGGGGAUGACGGCCUUCGGGUUGUAAACCUCUUUCAGCAGGGACGAAGCGCAAGUGACGGUACCUGCAGAAGAAGCACCGGCCAACUACGUG